GCGGAAGUAAUUCAGUGGUAGAAUGUCUCCUUGCCAAGGAGAAUGUCGCGAGUUCGAGCCUCGUCUUCCGCUCCA
RNAcentral lists this transfer RNA (75 nucleotides) under Candidatus Melainabacteria bacterium. RNAcentral describes it as "tRNA-Gly". It matches the Rfam family "tRNA". From Rfam's summary of the family: Transfer RNA (tRNA) molecules are approximately 80 nucleotides in length. Their secondary structure includes four short double-helical elements and three loops (D, anti-codon, and T loops). Further hydrogen bonds mediate the characteristic L-shaped molecular structure. tRNAs have two regions of fundamental functional importance: the anti-codon, which is responsible for specific mRNA codon recognition, and the 3' end, to which the tRNAs corresponding amino acid is attached (by aminoacyl-tRNA synthetases). tRNAs cope with the degeneracy of the genetic code in two manners: having more than one tRNA (with a specific anti-codon) for a particular amino acid; and 'wobble' base-pairing, i.e. permitting non-standard base-pairing at the 3rd anti-codon position. The record is from RNAcentral. Lineage: Bacteria; Bacillati; Candidatus Melainabacteria. RNAcentral also lists the same sequence under 6 other names.